CAUUACUGCCAGGGGCGCAUUUAUUGCUGAGAUAGGUGAAAGCCUUGUCCCUUAGCAUCUGAUCUGGGUAAUACCAGCGUAGAGAGGCCGUACUUUUUUAGU
This is a regulatory RNA element of Catenibacterium sp. CAG:290, 102 nucleotides long. It matches the Rfam family "TPP riboswitch aptamer (THI element)". From Rfam's summary of the family: Vitamin B(1) in its active form thiamin pyrophosphate (TPP) is an essential coenzyme that is synthesised by coupling of pyrimidine and thiazole moieties in bacteria. The previously detected thiamin-regulatory element, thi box was extended, resulting in a new, highly conserved RNA secondary structure, the THI element, which is widely distributed in eubacteria and also occurs in some archaea. Analysis of operon structures identified a large number of new candidate thiamin-regulated genes, mostly transporters, in various prokaryotic organisms. The record is from Rfam. Lineage: Bacteria; Bacillati; Bacillota; Erysipelotrichia; Erysipelotrichales; Coprobacillaceae.